This 1274-nucleotide long non-coding RNA is filed under the name Drosophila guanche. The record is from RNAcentral. Lineage: Eukaryota; Metazoa; Arthropoda; Insecta; Diptera; Drosophilidae.
CAUUGACGUCAGCCCAAACACCAUUUAUCUUGCACGGGUCUUACAAUUUAAUUAAUGUUCCAGCGAAUGAGCAUUUAAUAUGCAAUGGCGUAGAACCAGUAGUCGCCACACAACUUUUCGCCGGCAGUAAAAGUUCCUUUCCUCUACCGUACCCUGCCCCACUUUUGGAGAGUAGCUAAGCUGUAGGCGGGAUAUCUAAACUCACUUCUUUGACAAACUAGAUCCGGUUGGACUUCAUUUAAUGCUGAAGACUCAACCGAAAACAGAAUUGGCUAGACCAAAAAGAAAGAGGAAAGAGAGGCUGGGACGACAAGAAACAAGUUGGCGAAGAAAUUUAUGUCGAUGGGAAUUCCCAAAAAAACCCAAAUACUGGGCCAAAUCGUCGCACACAAUAACAAAUUCCCAUGACGUCGUGUAGCAAACAAACUUUACAGACAUUCAUCAAAGGCAUUUAUCAUUAGCCAAGAAAGAAAGAUGAUCGCUUGAUCGCCGUUAGCAAAAUGCAGAGAAACCUUUUGGCGCCAGUUAUCCAGACGGAUUCGGAUCUUAUGUGUAUGUACAUAUGCAUGGAAUGGAAUACUAGUUCCCUGUGCAGCUCCGCCGCCAUCAUUGGGUUUCCCAUAACACGUGCUAAGAGCCUACUCAGCCUACCCAUCAACAGUUUAAGAAAGUCGUCAAAACAAACCGUUUAAAUGAAUUUUCGAUGCUGUGAGUCUCAUUUCCAAUUCGCAUAAUAUAUCAAGUUGUCAAAUUAAAUUUGCAUGCCAUUAAUACUUAUUCAGCCAAAUGAAGCGCAGCUGAAGCCGCCCCUAAAACUUGAUGUGUUUUGCCAACACAUAUAGAAUUGGUGAAGCUGGAAAACCGCAUUUCAAGCUCAAACUAUGGUGGCAACAGGCAAAUUUCUAGGCUUAAUGCGAAUUUUGGAACUUAGGAAUUUUUUUUGUUUAACCAUUGAAUAUGUGAAUAAUGUUGUCGGGGAAGCCGAGCGGCAGAUUGGCGCCGAAAUAAUUAAUUAUAAAUUUACUGUCUCGACAUUAAUAACCCAUUUGGCAUUUGCAUAUAAAUUAGAACAUUCGAAAACAACAGCCUCCCUUCCCCUCCCUUCACAACAACAGCUGCAGAUAACAAACACGUAUAACUAAACCAGUGUGAAUGGCAUACAUAUGUACAUAUACAUAUGAAGAUAAGGCGCGACUACCGCAUACCCCUUAAUACUCAGUAUAGGAGGUAAAUGGAUAGUACAGCAGUCUAAGCCAAUAUGCGCAAUAGUUUUC